This 426-nucleotide ribosomal RNA is filed under the name uncultured eukaryote. Its description in RNAcentral is "bacterial SSU rRNA". It matches the Rfam family "Eukaryotic small subunit ribosomal RNA", at positions 1169 to 1607 of the family's 1831-position model. The record is from RNAcentral.
ACCAGGAGUGGAAUCUGCGGCUUAAUUUGACAACGCGGGAAAACUCACCAGGUCAGGACACGGUAAGGAUUGACGGACUGAAGGCUCUUUCUCGAUUCCGUGGAAAGUGGUGCAUGGCCGUUUUUGGUUGGUGGAUCGAUCCGUCUGGUUAAUUCCGUUAACGAACGAGACCUCGGCACUCCGAAUAGCGCGGCGGACGUCGCGGCCUCCGGGGCCGUCUUCCGCACGAGCUUCUUAGAGGGACCGUCCCCCGCCGGGGAAGGAGGUGCGAGGCAACGACAGGUCUGUGAUGCCCUUAGAUGUUCUGGGCCGCACGCGCAUUACACUGACGCGUCCAACGGGUGACUCCCGACCCGAAGGGGCCGGGGAAUCCGCAAGGCGCGUCGUGAUGGGGAUUGAACGUUGCAAUUGUUGUUCACGAACGAG